This 925-nucleotide small RNA is filed under the name Pongo abelii (Sumatran orangutan). Its description in RNAcentral is "retained intron". The record is from RNAcentral. Lineage: Eukaryota; Metazoa; Chordata; Mammalia; Primates; Hominidae.
UGGCGGAGCGCGGGAGGAAGCGGCCGUGCGGCCCGGGUGAACACGGCCAAAGGAUUGAGUGGCGAAAAUGGAAGCAACAGAGAUGUUCUUUUAUCCAGAGAAAGAGGAGAAAAAGAAAUGGAAGGAUCUCAAGCUGAUGAAAAAACUGGAGCAGCAGCGGGCACAGGAGGAACAGGCAAAGCGCCAGGAAGAGGAGGAGGCAGCGGCAGAGAAGGAGGACCGCGGGCGGCCCUACACACUGAGUGUAGCCCUGCCGGGCUCCAUCCUGGACAAUGCUCAGUCGCCGGAGCUUCGCACCUACUUGGCCGGUCAGAUUGCCAGAGCCUGUGCCAUCUUCUGUGUGGAUGAGAUCGUGGUGUUUGAUGAGGAGGGCCAGGAUGCCAAGACUGUGGAGGGGGAAUUCACAGGAGUUGGGAAGAAGGGGCAGGCGUGCGUACAGCUGGCCCGGAUCCUGCAGUACCUGGAGUGUCCACAGUACCUGAGGAAGGCAUUCUUCCCCAAGCACCAGGAUCUACAGUUUGCAGGUAACGCUGUGUGGGCCCGCCUGCCAUUUCCCCUGGAUCAUGCCACAGACACUGAGACCACCCAGUCCUACCCUGCACUGUCCAGGUGGGAAAGCAGGCCUGGGAGAGCAAGACCUGUGCCUGAUGCCAAGACGCAGGUCUGUGGCAAAGCCGGGACUCUGCUCCAGGGUCCCCACUGCACCCUGUGUGCCCUAGCACUUCCCAGACUCCUCCCGGCCCUGCGUCCACAGGGCUCCUGAACCCCUUGGACAGCCCCCACCACAUGCGUCAGGACGAGGAAUCUGAGUUCCGAGAGGGCAUCGUGGUGGAUCGGCCCACCCGGCCAGGCCACGGCUCCUUUGUCAACUGUGGCAUGAAAAAGGUAGGAACAGAAAGGUGGGCUAGGACACACCUCCAGGACA